AUUGAACGCUGGCGGCAUGCUUUACACAUGCAAGUCGAACGGCAGCGCGGGCUUCGGCCUGGCGGCGAGUGGCGAACGGGUGAGUAAUACAUCGGAACGUGCCCAGUAGUGGGGGAUAGCUCGGCGAAAGCCGGAUUAAUACCGCAUACGACCUGAGGGUGAAAGCGGGGGAUCUUCGGACCUCGCGCUAUUGGAGCGGCCGAUGGCAGAUUAGCUAGUUGGUGGGGUAAAGGCCUACCAAGGCGACGAUCUGUAGCUGGUCUGAGAGGACGACCAGCCACACUGGAACUGAGACACGGCCCAGACUCCUACGGGAGGCAGCAGUGGGGAAUUUUGGACAAUGGGCGAAAGCCUGAUCCAGCAAUGCCGCGUGUGUGAUGAAGGCCUUCGGGUUGUAAAGCACUUUUGGCGGGAACGAAAAGGACUGUGCCAAUACCACGGUUCGAUGACGGUACCCGCAGAAUAAGCACCGGCUAACUACGUG
This 484-nucleotide ribosomal RNA is filed under the name uncultured bacterium. RNAcentral describes it as "partial 16S ribosomal RNA". It matches the Rfam family "Bacterial small subunit ribosomal RNA", at positions 29 to 507 of the family's 1533-position model. The record is from RNAcentral.